RNAcentral lists this ribosomal RNA (440 nucleotides) under uncultured bacterium. Its description in RNAcentral is "bacterial SSU rRNA". It matches the Rfam family "Bacterial small subunit ribosomal RNA", at positions 338 to 795 of the family's 1533-position model. The record is from RNAcentral.
CCUACGGGCGGCAGCAGUGGGGAAUAUUGCACAAUGGGGGAAACCCUGAUGCAGCGACGCCGCGUGAAGGAAGAAGUAUUUCGGUAUGUAAACUUCUAUCAGCAGGGAAGAAACUGACGGUACCUGACUAAGAAGCACCGGCUAAAUACGUGCCAGCAGCCGCGGUAAUACGUAUGGUGCAAGCGUUAUCCGGAUUUACUGGGUGUAAAGGGAGCGUAGACGGAGAGGCAAGUCUGAAGUGAAAGCCCGGGGCUCAACCCCGGGACUGCUUUGGAAACUGCAGUUCUAGAGUGCCGGAGAGGUAAGCGGAAUUCCUAGUGUAGCGGUGAAAUGCGUAGAUAUUAGGAGGAACACCAGUGGCGAAGGCGGCUUACUGGACGGUGACUGACGUUGAGGCUCGAAAGCGUGGGGAGCAAACAGGAUUAGAUACCCCGGUAGUC